RNAcentral lists this signal recognition particle RNA (98 nucleotides) under Deltaproteobacteria bacterium. RNAcentral's name for it is "signal recognition particle sRNA small type". It matches the Rfam family "Bacterial small signal recognition particle RNA". From Rfam's summary of the family: The signal recognition particle (SRP) is a universally conserved ribonucleoprotein involved in the co-translational targeting of proteins to membranes. Archaeal SRP consists of a 7S RNA and homologues of the eukaryotic SRP19 and SRP54 proteins. Lineage: Bacteria; Pseudomonadati; Myxococcota; Myxococcia. The record is from RNAcentral.
CGUCAGGUCCCACGCAAAGGAGCUCUGCGAACCCCGCCAGAUCCGGAAGGAAGCAACGGUAGUGGAAUACUUCUUGUGCCGUGGGUAACCUGACUUUU